RNAcentral lists this ribosomal RNA (234 nucleotides) under uncultured bacterium. RNAcentral describes it as "partial 16S ribosomal RNA". It matches the Rfam family "Bacterial small subunit ribosomal RNA", at positions 96 to 334 of the family's 1533-position model. The record is from RNAcentral.
UGGCGGACGGGUGAGUAAUGUCUGGGAAACUGCCCGAUGGAGGGGGAUAACUACUGGAACGGUAGCUAAUACCGCAUAACGUCGCAAGACCAAAGAGGGGGACCUUAGGGCCUCUUGCCAUCGGAUGUGCCCAGAUGGGAUUAGCUAGUAGGUGGGGUAAUGGCUCACCUAGGCGACGAUCCCUAGCUGGUCUGAGAGGAUGACCAGCCACACUGGAACUGAGACACGGUCCAG